Molecule: ribosomal RNA, 434 nt
Filed under: uncultured bacterium
Lineage: Bacteria
Description: bacterial SSU rRNA
Rfam family: Bacterial small subunit ribosomal RNA
Source: RNAcentral
AACGAACGCUGGCGGCAUGCCUAAUACAUGCAAGUCGAACGAGACCUUCGGGUCUAGUGGCGCACGGGUGCGUAACGCGUGGGAAUCUGCCCUUGGGUUCGGAAUAACUUCGGGAAACUGAAGCUAAUACCGGAUGAUGACGAAAGUCCAAAGAUUUAUCGCCCAGGGAUGAGCCCGCGUAGGAUUAGCUAGUUGGUGGGGUAAAGGCUCACCAAGGCAACGAUCCUUAGCUGGUCUGAGAGGAUGAUCAGCCACACUUGGGACUGAGACACGGCCCAGACUCCUACGGGAGGCAGCAGUAGGGAAUAUUGGACAAUGGGCGAAAGCCUGAUCCAGCAAUGCCGCGUGAGUGAUGAAGGCCUUAGGGUUGUAAAGCUCUUUUACCCGAGAUGAUAAUGACAGUAUCGGGAGAAUAAGCUCCGGCUAACUCCGUG